UCAAAUCAUGUGCGUACUA
This 19-nucleotide non-coding RNA is filed under the name Arabidopsis thaliana (thale cress). Lineage: Eukaryota; Viridiplantae; Streptophyta; Magnoliopsida; Brassicales; Brassicaceae. The record is from RNAcentral.